RNAcentral lists this ribosomal RNA (497 nucleotides) under uncultured bacterium. Its description in RNAcentral is "partial 16S ribosomal RNA". It matches the Rfam family "Bacterial small subunit ribosomal RNA", at positions 28 to 507 of the family's 1533-position model. The record is from RNAcentral.
GACGAACGCUGGCGGCGUGCCUAAUACAUGCAAGUAGAACGCUGAAGAGAGGAGCUUGCUCUUCUUGGAUGAGUUGCGAACGGGUGAGUAACGCGUAGGUAACCUGCCUUGUAGCGGGGGAUAACUAUUGGAAACGAUAGCUAAUACCGCAUAACAAUGGAUGACACAUGUCAUUUAUUUGAAAGGGGCAAUUGCUCCACUACAAGAUGGACCUGCGUUGUAUUAGCUAGUAGGUGAGGUAGUGGCUCACCUAGGCGACGAUACAUAGCCGACCUGAGAGGGUGAUCGGCCACACUGGGACUGGGACACGGCCCAGACUCCUACGGGAGGCAGCAGUAGGGAAUCUUCGGCAGUGGGGGCAACCCUGACCGAGCAACGCCGCGUGAGUGAAGAAGGUUUUCGGAUCGUAAAGCUCUGUUGUAAGUCAAGAACGGGUGUGAGAGUGGAAAGUUCUCACUGUGACGGUAGCUUACCAGAAAGGGACGGCUAACUACGUG